GACGAACGCUGGCGGCGUGCCUAAUACAUGCAAGUAGAACGCUGAAGGAGGAGCUUGCUUCUCUGGAUGAGUUGCGAACGGGUGAGUAACGCGUAGGUAACCUGCCUGGUAGCGGGGGAUAACUAUUGGAAACGAUAGCUAAUACCGCAUAAUAUUGACUAUUGCAUGAUAGUCAGUUGAAAGGUGCAACUGCACCACUACCAGAUGGACCUGCGUUGUAUUAGCUAGUUGGUGGGGUAACGGCUCACCAAGGCGACGAUACAUAGCCGACCUGAGAGGGUGAUCGGCCACACUGGGACUGAGACACGGCCCAGACUCCUACGGGAGGCAGCAGUAGGGAAUCUUCGGCAAUGGACGGAAGUCUGACCGAGCAACGCCGCGUGAGUGAAGAAGGUUUUCGGAUCGUAAAGCUCUGUUGUAAGAGAAGAACGAGUGUGAGAGUGGAAAGCUCACACUGUGACGGUAUCUUACCAGAAAGGGACGGCUAACUACG
This 493-nucleotide ribosomal RNA is filed under the name uncultured bacterium. Its description in RNAcentral is "partial 16S ribosomal RNA". It matches the Rfam family "Bacterial small subunit ribosomal RNA", at positions 28 to 505 of the family's 1533-position model. The record is from RNAcentral.